CCCCAUAGAGAUUAAGUACGGUACUAUAAAUAUACUCUAUAAGUGUUAAGUAUGGCAUUAUGAAUCUACUUCGUGAGAGUUAAGUAUGGCAUUAUGAAUCUACUCUAUGAGAGUUAAGUAUGGCAUUGUGAACCCACAGAGAUUAAACAUAUGCUAUGGAUCUUGCCACAAGAUUAUGCGGUCAUAGCAGAAACUGCUGUGUUGAUCAU
This 209-nucleotide long non-coding RNA is filed under the name Elaeis guineensis (African oil palm). Its description in RNAcentral is "long non-coding RNA (EGUI_LNC038342)". Lineage: Eukaryota; Viridiplantae; Streptophyta; Magnoliopsida; Arecales; Arecaceae. The record is from RNAcentral.